Molecule: ribosomal RNA, 264 nt
Filed under: uncultured bacterium
Lineage: Bacteria
Description: partial 16S ribosomal RNA
Rfam family: Bacterial small subunit ribosomal RNA
Source: RNAcentral
CCCCGGUAGUCCAUGCAGUAAACGAUGGGUGCUAGUCGUCGGACUUAUGUUCGGUGUCGUAGCUAACGCGUUAAGCACCCCGCCUGGGGAGUACGGUCGCAAGAUUAAAACUCAAAUAAAUUGACGGGGACCCGCACAAGCAGUGGAGCAUGUGGUUUAAUUCGACGCAACGCGAAGAACCUUACCAGCUUUUGACAUGGGAAGUACCGGUUACAGAAUGGUAACCUUCAGUUCGGCUGGCUUCUACACAGGUGCUGCAUGGCU